AUAAACACAAUGAACAGACGAAGUAAUCAAUAGCGUUUUUUAGAGAGAUUGCGGUUGGUGUAAGCAAUUAUUCGCUGUGAUGAAAUGCACCUGGGAGUGGUUUUGGCGCAAGUCAAAAACGGAGAAUAGACCGUUAGCUAUUUAAGGCAGAGUAUUUCUGUAAAUAAAAGUGGAACCACGCCAAACAAGCGUCUUUUAA
This 199-nucleotide non-coding RNA is filed under the name Enterococcus columbae. RNAcentral describes it as "T-box sequence". It matches the Rfam family "T-box leader". Rfam says of the family: Uncharged tRNA acts as the effector for transcription antitermination of genes in the T-box leader family. The record is from RNAcentral. Lineage: Bacteria; Bacillati; Bacillota; Bacilli; Lactobacillales; Enterococcaceae.